This is a long non-coding RNA of Astatotilapia calliptera (eastern happy), 493 nucleotides long. NCBI's taxonomy places the organism in Eukaryota, Metazoa, Chordata, Actinopteri, Cichliformes, Cichlidae. The record is from Ensembl.
AUUUUUACAGGUCUCGUCGCGUGUCCGGGCCGGCUCGGUCGCCGGGGGGCGAUCCUUGAGGAAGGGGUACUGUCAUGGUCCGGGUGAGUACGGGGUUUUUCCACUCCGCUGGGCUCCACCUUCAGGCAGAGACUCCAAUCAGCUUCCACACCUGGUUCCAAUCAAGUCACCAGCAUAUAAGACCAGCAUUCACAACAGACCUCUGCCAGAUCUUCUGCUAACUCAUGACCCACCUGGCCGUCGCGAUUCCCAACCCAGACUACUCACAUCUCCGCCUGGACGCUGGUUCCAUCAUCUGGUUGCUCCCUUUCCAUCGUCUGACUACACCUGCCUGCCUCUCUGCCAAGCCCCUCACUCCAAGCAUAUUCUGGAUCCUCUCUGGACACUCCUCACCCGGAACCCCCUGGACACCCCCUCCUCGCAUGACACUUUAAACCUGCAACGCGUAAGCCCUAACCACCAUAGUCUAAUCCUCCAGCUGUGAUUCACUAAG